CACGUAGGGGGCAAGCGUUGUCCGGAUUUAUUGGGCGUAAAGAGCUCGUAGGUGGUUCGAUAAGUCGGGUGUGAAACCUCCAGGCUCAACCUGGAGACGCCACCCGAUACUGUCGUGACUAGAGUCCAGUAGGGGAGCGUGGAAUUCCAGGUGUAGCGGUGAAAUGCGUAGAUAUCUGGAGGAACACCGGUGGCGAAGGCGGCUCUCUGGACCACAACUGACGCUGAGGCGCGAAAGCUAGGGGAGCAAACAGG
This 254-nucleotide ribosomal RNA is filed under the name uncultured bacterium. RNAcentral describes it as "partial 16S ribosomal RNA". It matches the Rfam family "Bacterial small subunit ribosomal RNA", at positions 524 to 776 of the family's 1533-position model. The record is from RNAcentral.